CAGUAGGGUCGAGAUUGUAGUUGAAGAUUUGAAGUUUAUCUUAAAAGUCAGACUAAAUGGAAAAGGAGAUUUCGGAAGUCCAGGAAAGUAGGGCGACCCAGAGAUGGAGGAAGCACGAUGGGAAAGAACGUGCCACCGCAGCAAUAAACAGAAAUUGGACAAGUGUUGGAAUCUGCUGCACGUCAUGCGCUUGAAAGCAGAAAAAGAUCCUUGCAUACUUUUUCUUCUUCCUCCAAAUGCAUAAUGUUUCUACUUUUAGGGUUUCAGACAUAUUCAAAUGAGUUGCAACUUAAAGUGUUGUCGGUAAUGGUUCUAUAAUUCACAGGUAAGCAUGGGAUUCUUGUAUAACUCAAGCGCCUCGAUCAUGACAUCAAAUUCCUUCAGGUUCUUUCUUUCUUUCUUAUAAUUUUGAUUUGCUUACUAAUAAAGUGGAAUCUAAUUUUGUUGCAAGCAAACUUCUUUGCAAAUUCUGAAUUGUCUGUUAUCCAUCAGAAUUUUUUGCCAAGUUUAUUGCUAUCCAUUUUUCUUUUAAAUUCAUUUCCUGUGUUUUCUUAAACUAUGCAGAAAAAAUUGAAAGAGCUUGAGAAAGCAGAUAUUGUGUAUCAUUUUAUUAAUAUCUCUGUCUCUCUUUUUUUUUUUUGUUCUUGACCAUUUUCUUUAUCUUCCCUUAGGAGGAACAACGUAUAGAACAUCUUUUCAAACACUUGCAGGAUUUUUCAGACAAUACGUCACAGCAUUUUGAUAUUGUUUUUUAUUUAUUUAAUUAAUUUUGUUCAUUGCAAGAGAUUCGUUAACUCUUUCAAACCUCUAUAUUUAGGAGGAUAGGUGGGAACAUGAUAACUACUUCAUCCAUUCUAAUAAAUUUCUUUCAUCAAAUCUAUAAUUGUCCUUUAUUUAUAUAUUUGGUCAUUUAUUUGUGUUUUGGCUUCUAAAGGUUCAAGUUGGAGGAUAACCUUUGUACAAAGUUGACAAUAAAUU
Non-coding RNA from Arachis ipaensis, 978 nucleotides. Lineage: Eukaryota; Viridiplantae; Streptophyta; Magnoliopsida; Fabales; Fabaceae. The record is from RefSeq and is a predicted model, not a curated record.